This 257-nucleotide ribosomal RNA is filed under the name uncultured bacterium. RNAcentral describes it as "partial 16S ribosomal RNA". It matches the Rfam family "Bacterial small subunit ribosomal RNA", at positions 524 to 776 of the family's 1533-position model. The record is from RNAcentral.
UACGUAGGGUGCAAGCGUUGUCCGGAAUUAUUGGGCGUAAAGAGCUCGUAGGCGGUCUGUCGCGUCUGCUGUGAAAACUCAGGGCUUAACCCCGGGCCUGCAGUGGGUACGGGCAGACUAGAGUGCGGUAGGGGAGACUGGAAUUCCUGGUGUAGCGGUGAAAUGCGCAGAUAUCAGGAGGAACACCAGCGGCGAAGGCGGCUGCUCGUCGGGCCGGUACUGACGCUGAGGAGCGGAAAGCGUGGGGAGCGAACAGG